UCGCCACUCUACCAGAGCGGUGUACAACCUCACGCGCGUAAGUCCGCGCGCCUGCGCGAUGCGCCACCGCCGUUGCCUAGCAACGAAUAUGCACAACAAAUCACCGUACCAAGCUAACUGAAGCUAGUUGAUGGUCGGAUGCCAAGACGUUGUGUCACAAUUUGACGUUAAAAAACAAAAGAAGGUUGCUUUACAGUCCUAGGUUCUUACAGAUUCUCCUAGCUUAAGGAACAGCCUACAAGGACGAGGUCGAGAAAAUAGUCGACGCAACUUCUGACGUGUCCUUACCGAAUAUAGUGAACAAUGAAGGCUUUUCUUCACUGCAUUUGGCUGCAUUGGCACGUGCGGCAAGCAUCAUUUACAUCUUGUUGCGCAAAGGAGCCAAUCCAUGCUUGCAAUCCAACGACGGCAAUACUCUUUUGCAUUUCAAUGUGUAUAUUAAAAUCAAAUAAUAUUUCAAUUAAUUUUAAAUUUGAUAUAGAAUGUACCUGACAUGUAACUUGGCGUUAGUAAUAAAGUAUUUGUAUUUG
Molecule: long non-coding RNA, 530 nt
Organism: Cydia pomonella (codling moth)
Lineage: Eukaryota; Metazoa; Arthropoda; Insecta; Lepidoptera; Tortricidae
Exons: 2
Source: RefSeq, a predicted model, not a curated record